CCCUUAGAUGUCCUGGGCCGCACGCGCGCUACACUGAUGCAUUCAACGAGUAUUUCCUUGGCCGAGAGGCCUGGGCAAUCUUUUAAACCUGCAUCGUGAUAGGGAUAGAUUAUUGCAAUUAUUAAUCUUGAACGAGGAAUUCCUAGUAAACGCAAAUCAUCAAUUUGCAUUGAUUACGUCCCUGCCCUUUGUACACACCGCCCGUCGCACCUACCGAUUGAAUGGUCCGGUGAAAUCUCGGGAUUGUGGCCAGUUCACUUUAUUGGGAGUUGGCUGCGAGAACUUACUUAAACCUUAUCAUUUAGAGGAAGGUGAAGUCGUAACA
This 325-nucleotide ribosomal RNA is filed under the name uncultured eukaryote. RNAcentral's name for it is "partial 18S ribosomal RNA". It matches the Rfam family "Eukaryotic small subunit ribosomal RNA", at positions 1470 to 1796 of the family's 1831-position model. The record is from RNAcentral.